ACCCGUUGAUCCUGCGGGAGGUUGCGGCUAUCGGGAUUCGGCUAAGACAUGCAAGUUAGCUCGCCCGCAAGGGUGGGUGGCGAACUGCUCAGUAACACGUCGAUAAUCUGCCGUUGUGUCUGGGAUACCCUUGGGAAACUGAGAUUAAUACCGGAUAAGGUACAGGUACUGGAAGGUCCUGUUCUUGAAAGUUUUAACGCACAACGAUGAGUCGGCGGCGGAUUAGCUUGUUGGUGGGGUAAUGGCUCACCAAGGCGAAGAUCCGUACGGGCCAUGAGAGUGGUUGCCCGGAGAAGGACACUGAGAUACUGGUCCUAGCCCUAAGGGGUGCAGCAGUCGCGAAUCCUUUACAAUGCACGAAAGUGUGAUAAGGGGAUCCCGAGUGCUCAAGCAAUGCUUGGGCUUUUCUUGAAGGUAGGAACUUCUUGGAAUAAGUGGUGGGCAAGACCGGUGCCAGCCGCCGCGGUAAUCCCGGCGCCACGAGUUGCAACCGCGUUUAUUGGGUCUAAAGCAUCCGUAGCCGGUUUAGUACAUUUUCUGUGAAAUUGUUGCGCUCAACGUAACAACGUGCAGGGAACACGGCUAAACUUGGGACCGGGAGGCGUAAGAGGUAUGCUGGGGGGAGCGGUAAAAUGUUAUAAUCCCCAGUGGACCACCAAUGGCGAAGGCAUCUUACGAGAACGGAUCCGACGGUGAGGGAUGAAAGCUAGGGGAGCGAUCGGGAUUAGAUACCCCAGUAGUCCUAGCCGUAAACGCUGUCAGUUGGAUGUUGCACACUCUUCGGGAGUGUGCAGUGUCGCAGAGAAGUCGUUAAACUGACCACCUGGGAAGUACGGUCGCAAGGCUGAAACUUAAAGGAAUUGGCGGGGGAGCACUACAAGGGGUGCGGCGUGCGGUUUAAUUGAAUUCAAUGUUGGAAACCUCACCAGGGGCGACGGCACAAUGAAGGUCAGUCUGAAGGGCUUACUUGAGGAGCCGAGAGGUGUUGUAUGGUCACCGUCAGCUCGUGCCGUAAGGUGUCCAGUUAAGUCUGGCAACGAGCGAGACCUGUGCGUCUAGUUGCUAACGUGCGAGUAAUCGUGAGCGAGUACACUAGACGGACUGCCUUCGAAAGGAGGAGGAGGGUGCAGGCUACGGUAGAUCAGUAUGGCCCGAAUCUCCUGGGCUACACGCGCGCAACAAUGGUAGGCACAAUGGGAUGCAACUCCGUAAGGAGGAGCCAAACCUCGAAAUCCUACCCUAGUACAGAUCGAGGGCUGUAACUCGCCCUCGUGACGUCGGAAUCCCUAGUAAUCAGACGUUAGCAUCGUCCGGUGAAUAUGUCCCUGCUCCUUGCACACACCGCCCAUCAUCUCAUCCGAGCAGGGUCUAGGUGAGCCUUACCAGACACUGGUAUGUCGAACCUAGGUUCAGUGAGGCGGAGCAAGUUGACACAAGGUA
RNAcentral lists this ribosomal RNA (1440 nucleotides) under metagenome. RNAcentral's name for it is "bacterial SSU rRNA". It matches the Rfam family "Archaeal small subunit ribosomal RNA". The record is from RNAcentral.